Long non-coding RNA from Nycticebus coucang (slow loris), 4661 nucleotides. RefSeq lists it as uncharacterized. NCBI's taxonomy places the organism in Eukaryota, Metazoa, Chordata, Mammalia, Primates, Lorisidae. The record is from RefSeq and is a predicted model, not a curated record. The transcript is spliced from 5 exons.
UUCCCGGCCUGGACUCCUGACUGAAGAAAUGCUACGGUCUGGGUGGUCAGUGUCCCGACCUGCUUCUGGCUGCCUUUGCCGUCUGCUGCGGUCUCUCCACACUGUCAGCUCUUUAUCAUCUGUAAAGUGCAGGGGCAGAGGGCUGGGUGCAGGGUUAGACUGGAUGACCUCUGCGCCCCGCCGGCAUGCUAACGUGGGAUGUGGCCAGUCCUCAGUUACCUUGCACCUUGCUCUGCAGCAGUGCGACACAGCACAGGGGCACCCGGGUCCAGCACAGCAGCAAUAAAGGCAAACCAACCCUUUCUCCGUCUCCUUCAAAGCACUGCUCAUCUGCUGGAAGAUGGUAUAUGUGCUACAGAAAUGUUUCAUCAGACGAAGGGUCACCUGGAAAGACUGAUGUCAGCGUUGAGGAAAGGAAUGACUCUAAAAAUGGGAUACUGAAUAUUUGGGGGAGUCCACAGUGUUCCAGUUGCAACAAAGUUCAAGAAGGACCAAAUCAAGUGAGCCUCAAGCUGUCACCCUGGGUAGAGUGUCCUGGCCUCACAGCUCACAGCAACCUCCAACUCCUGGGCUCAAGCGAGUCUCCUGCCUCCACCUCCCAAGUAGUUGGGACUACAGGCGCCCGCCACAACGCCUGUCUAUUUUUUGUUUGCAGCCGUCAUUGUUGUUUGGCGGGCCCAGGCUGGAUUUGAACCCAUCAGCUCAGGUGUAUGUGGCUGGCGCCUUAGCUGCUUGAGCCACAGGCACCAAGCCUUGAUCAUUAUUUAAGUGUGCAUGUAAACAAAAACUCUUGGUGCACAUCUUGGAAGCUCGUUCACAUCUGCCCAUAAGAGAAAGGCUAUUGCAAAUGGAUUCAGAAGGCAAAACUUUCCUUUCCAAACAACAGUCUUGAUCAUAAAUUCAUGGAGCUCCAGGGUGGCCGAGGCUUGAACAAAGGGAGACUGCGUCAUGCUGAUCAUCCUUCUUCUGAUACUGUGCAGAAGAGUCUUCCUCCAGUCUUGACGACCGGGGAUCAGCCUUAGCUGGCAGCCAUCUGGCCAGGCGGCAGAGGAAUGUGAGGAAGAACAUUGUGAGAAGGAACUUUCAGUCCUGAUGGUGCCAGGCCACUUUCCCUUAUCUGUGGCACUCAGAAGCACCAUCAGAUGACAAAGAAGAAAGCUCUUCUGAGGUUUCUAGGAUCUGAGUGCAUAGAGAAAACACCAGAAUACACCCUACACCAGUGUGAUCAGCAGCAGCACUGCCCGGUAUCAUUGAGGGUAAAAUGGAUUUGGUUUAUGUUCCCCUGCAAGCCAAGUGGCAGGUGGUGGCAUGUUCCUCACAAGUCUACUGAAAUAAAGACAAUCAGAAGUGACGUGCCUGGCCACCUGCAAGGGUGCACUAAAUAUGUUUAUGGCUAAAGGAUUAGACGUAAAUUAAAUUCGCAGGGCAGUCAGAAUGUUGGCACAUUCCAAGAGAAACUUCAGAGUAUAAAAUCUUAUAAUUUGGGACACAGUUUUACUGAGAAAUAAUGAAUUUUAGAUGCUCAUGUUUAAGAUCAGUUCUGUGGGAAGUUGCUAAGGAAUCAGCCCAAAAGGAGAGACAAUUAGACGUCCAUGUUCCCGAAAGAGCAGAAUUACUGCAGGUCAACAUCACUCAGUGACCACCUAGUCACUGGUCAGUUUCUUCUGAAGGUUUCUGUGGUUUGAAGAAACAGCGGCGGUUGGCAUGACUCAGCCAGCAGGUACGGACUGAGUGUCCCCGGGGAGCUUGUUCUGCAGAACGCAGGACAAAACCUCCCAUCCCUAGAAAUAAAAAGUGGGUUUUCCUUGCUUACCAGACACACAUAUUUGUGAUUAGAUAUUUGGACUGAAGGAAAAUACUGCAUCAGCAGCAGCAUAUACAAUAAGAUCCACUUUGUGGUGAGAAAACAUUGAGUAGAUCAUGAAAAAUACACAAACCAAGGGUUCCUCAGAGCUGGACAGCAUCUCCAAUUAUUCAAUAAUAAGUGUGUGCUGCCAGGGAGUUCUAAAGAGGCUUUUUGUACAGAAGGAAGAGCCAAGUUGUUCUACAAACCUAGAAUUAGAAAGCUGGUGAUCCUGGACUACAACGGGACGGGCUACGUACGUAACUGCUGGACCAGGAGGCUGUAAACAGUGAGGCUGAGUCUGGAGCCAACGCAUCUGUGUUUAAAUAUCCGACAAUCACAUUGUUGUCAUUCUUGUCCACAAAAAGGCAAAACUGUUCUGUUUCCUUUCUCAUUAUACUUAAAACUGAAAAUAGCACUCACAUAGUAGACACUUGGUUAAAACAUUGUCACUAUAAGAAGGAAAACAGUAGAUUUUAAGAAAUGUGUUUUGUGGGGAGGUCGGUGAUUGAGCUAACAAUUUAUAUAAAACAAAUCUUGAUAAAUAUCCUGAAAAAAAAAAUAAAUAUCCCGAUGCAGGCUGCCAAGUAUGAGGACAUGACUUCAGGGACUUUCAGCAAGAAAAACACUAUGGUGAUUUCAUUCAUUCAUUUAACAAAUAUUGAUUAAGUAACAGUGUAGCCUGCUCUGGGUGCUGGGUGAAGCCUAAAAGACAGACAUGGCUCGGGUCUCAUGGCCCGCUCCUUCUAGGCACAGAUGAACAGUCAGUGAGAAAGAGGCAAAUACUUCCAUGAUAGUAGAUGGGAGUUCUGUAAAAGGAUCAGGGAGGAUGCGAUGCUAAAAUGUACAGAGGUCCUUAGCUGCUCCGAAUUAUGGGUGAUGACACCUCUGAGAUAAAUUUGAUCUGAGUCCUAAUAACAAGAGGGGAUAGAGUAAGACAAUGGUGGGUUGGAGGAUGGAGAAGCCCCUGUGGAGCAGAGCGGAGACUGAGUAUAAGGUACCUGAGGUAUUAAAGAGCAUUGAGAAACUGAGAGGAGGGCUCAGCGCCCCCAGUGCAGUGGGUAGGGCACCGGCCACAUACACCAAAGCUGGCGGGUUCCAGCCUGGCCCGGGCCUGCAAAAGACAAUGACAACUGCAACCGAAAAAUGGCCGGGCGUUGUGGCGGGCCCAGCUACUCAGGAGGCUGAGGCAAGAGAAUUGCUUGAGCCUAAGAGUUGGAGGUUGCUGUGAACUGUGAUGCCAAGGCACUCUAUCCAGGGUGACCUAGUGAGACUCUGUCUCAAAAAAAAAAAAGAAAGAAAGAAACUAGAAGGAGGAAAAUAGAGCUGUAAUAUGGUAUGCUGGAGCAGGGAGAACAGAUGAUUAGACUGUGUCAAGACGUUUAGAUAUAGCUGGGUGCCUGUAGCUCAGUGGUUAGGGUGCUGGCCACAUGCUCUGGGACUGGUGGGUUCAAACCCAAGCCGGGCCUGCUAAAAAAUAAAAAUAAAAAAAAUAUAUAUAUGUAUAUAAAAGUUUAGAUACGGUCUAAGAGUGAUGGCAAGAUCUUUAGUCAUUGAACAAAGCCAAUUCAAUUUUUGCUCAAAUAGAAAUUACAUGUCUUGCAUAUAUAUAUAUUAAAAUUAUAUUAUCUCUUCUAGAAGUUUUAGAAAACAUGUUUUGUAAUAAGUAGAAAACAAUCAACAUAAUUGUAAAAUCUAGUUGUGAUGGCAUCUUAUUUAUUAGUCUACAUGUACAAAAUACAGACUCCUCUGAUUUCUGCCAACUUACUUUGGAGCCACCCCUGCUUCUUACUAGCCAGAAUUUCAGGAGAUCUUUCUGGAGGCUUCCUACUCUUCUGGGUUUUAUUCAAGAAUACCAGGGGCCUAACUCAGUCCAAAGUGUAUCAGUCUAGCUUCCAAAACUCCAAAUGGGCGCAGUUGGACCCUAGUCAGUCCAUUUAUACCAUGUGGCAGUGCUAGGGGACAGUCCUCCACGAAAGAGCAGACCUCAGCUGUGCACACACUGAGGAGACACACUCGGACGAUUCAGGUCCAGCCUGGGCUGCAGGUGCACCUGUGCUGAGUGCCAGUGUUGUGACGAUGGUAACGCUUCUUGUACGACUCACGGAAUAUUUCAAACACGCACCAAAAUACCGUGUGCACAUCAUCCAGCUUCAGGGGUUUCCAGCUCACAGACAGCCGCCUUCUCUCCUUGUCCACAAUACUGUAAAGGGAUUGCCAGAAUCAUCAUUUCAUUUGUAACAUUUGUAGCACUAAAACAUAGGGACUAUUUAAAAGAAAACCUAGGCCCAAUACCAUUAUCCCACUUAAAACAGAAAUGGCAAGUCCUUCAUAGCAUCAGCUAUCCAGUGUUCAAAUCCUCCACUUACCUCAAAUAUGUUUUUUAAAGUUUAUUUAUACUUUGUGCAAAGAAAAUCCAAAUACAGUCUACACACGGCGGUGGGUCUCGGGUCUAUUGCACUCCUGUGGUUCCACCUCUGCUGUUCUUCUUUUUCCUUUGGCGACGUAACAUCUAAGAAAUGGUGCGUUUGUUCCAUGGUGUUUGCUGCUGUCUGUAUUUUCCUGAUCGUGUCCCAAGAGGGCCACUCAACAUGAUCUGUGUUCCUCUCAUAUUGUUGAAAAAUUGCUAGAGGCUUGAUUAGAUUCAGAUUGGAUUUUUUUUUGGGGGGGUGCGAUGACUUUAUCGUACUUUAUUACAAUGUUUGAUUGCAUUUUCUGUGAGAUGUUAGUAGAUAUAGAUGAUUAUUAUCUGGAUUCUUUAAUACAUUAAUUAUGGCUUGCAAAAUGAUGAUAUUCUUUCAUUUCUUCUUCAGUACAU